UUGACAAAAAUAACUCAGCAAGAGAAUAAUCCAUAAUUCCAUCAGAUGAAUUGCUUCAAAACCUACAAUUAAGCAAUGAAGCAAGACAAGAGAUACAGAACUGUACAUUGACCCAGAUGACCAUCGCAAAGUUUAAAAUUUGCAAACAGAAUAUGGACUUGUGAAGAUAAAAUGAAGGCUCAAGGAAGCAAAUAACAAAUGCUUGGAGUAAGUCAAAAGUAAAAGARUUGAGAGCAUAUUUUGAGAAUGAGUCUGAAAGAGGAAAUAGAGGUGCGUAAAAUGAGCAGCAUGAGGAGCAUAAGUGUGUGAAGCAGAAGGAAAAAUUGUUCUAGACUAAAGAGGAUGAGCACUGCCUCAUUUUGCUGGGAAACUCUGAAAGAGAGCAUGAGUUGGAGUGUUACUACAAAAACAAAUGGAAUAUGUGAAAUAUCUAUGCAAAAACAAGAAGAAAUGAAUCGAGACUUUGAAAGCAGAAAAUUGGGGAAUUUUAAAAAGUGAACCAAGUACAGGCAAAAAAGAAAAAAGCAAGAAAGAAAAAAAAGCAAGUUCUGGGAGCUACUGUAGAAAUUGCGAGGGGAGUCAAAGAAAAGGAUUACAAUGGUGACAGAAGAAGGAAUAACAGAAGAAAGGAGUUAUAUGAAGAAACUGGACCAGGAAGCAGACGGGCUGCUGGCAAAUGACUUAGCCUGCAGAGGGAAUUUCCUCUUGAUUUGGGAUCAUGGUAGACUCUACCUUGCCUCUGACCAGGUGGGUGGACAAGCUGGAACCAGGCAACAGAAGAAGUUAGCAUCAAAAGAUCCAACCGUUCUAGGAUGGUGCAUGCAUGUGAAAAACUUCCACAAAUUCUAUUGUUUCACUUCAGACAUUUCAGCACUGAUUCCAUUCUUCCCCCCUAUUUUUUCAGUAGGUCACAAAAGAACUGUGAUUGAGCUUCUGCAAAAUAUCUCAUUCUUCCUUGUUCCUUUUACAGAGUGGAAGAAUAUUCCAUUCUAAAAUGAAAAUAUGCAUUAAUACAGUCUUUUGUCUUUAUUAUUUGAGAUCUAUUCCUGGUAUAGGUCCAUUGACCUUAUAUGACUUUUGUGAUCGAAGAUGAAUUUGUUCUUUUCUUAUUCUGAGUUUCUUUUUUGCAAACACUUCUGUAUACAAAGGCUGCUUGCUUUCUUUGCAUCCUGUCAGGGAUGAUAUUGCUCAAUUUACUUCUCUGGUGUCUCAGACCUAUACAGGAAAACCACAUGAAGAAAUAACUAAUAUCUGAAUGCUGUUUUGAGAAACAAUUCUAAUAAUUUUUUAUUCUUCUGUUUCCAUGUCUACACAACUUUAUUAUGGAUGUGCCAUAAACGCAUUUGCACAAGAGAGAUAUUCAAUUAUUGCACUGAAUUUCAGAAUUUAGAGAUGAUGACUGUAUAAAACAGUGAAGAUUGGAGGUAGCUGAGAUGUAUAGGUCCUCUUCUAUGGUUAUUUUAUUUUGUUUUAUAUAUCACUUCUAUAUCCCAUAUGAAAAGAAAAUACGGGCAAUGUAUUUGAUGACAAAGGAGGUGCGUUGGUAUUAGAAUUCCUGCUUAUUUCUAUUUUAUUCACAUUUUAUAACAUAAUUCAAUAUGCUCAUUAUUUUUGACUGACAUUAAUAAGGUGUGAAAGCAGGUCUAACAAGGCUAGCUGUGAGAGCUUUGAAACAAAGAGAUUUAAUACAGAAUAUGGUGUAAGCACUGCAAUAUUUCCCACUUAAUUAUAUGAGAAUACCUGGGGCUGGAUUCAAUAAAAAAUGACAUCAGGCUUCUAUACA
RNAcentral lists this long non-coding RNA (1783 nucleotides) under Dromaius novaehollandiae (emu). RNAcentral's name for it is "lncRNA (ENSDNVG00000005634.1)". Lineage: Eukaryota; Metazoa; Chordata; Aves; Casuariiformes; Dromaiidae. The record is from RNAcentral.